This 887-nucleotide ribosomal RNA is filed under the name uncultured archaeon. RNAcentral's name for it is "bacterial SSU rRNA". It matches the Rfam family "Archaeal small subunit ribosomal RNA", at positions 29 to 922 of the family's 1478-position model. The record is from RNAcentral.
GCCCGUUCGGGGGUCGACUAGCCAUGCGAGUCGAUGUAGCAUACAUGGCGUACUGCUCAGUGACACGUGGACAACCUACCCUCAGGUCGGGGAUAAACCCGGGAAACUGGGUAUAAUACCCGAUAGAUCUCGGUUGCUGGAAUGCAUCGAGCUCUAAAGCUCCGGCGCCUGAGGAUGGGCCUGCGGCCUAUCAGGUAGUAGUGGGUGUAGCGUACCUACUAGCCUACGACGGGUACGGGUUGUGAGAGCAAGAGCCCGGAGAUGGAUUCUGAGACACGAAUCCAGGCCCUACGGGGUGCAGCAGGCGCGAAAACUUUACAAUGCCGGCAACGGCGAUAAGGGGACCUCGAGUGCCAGGUUACAAAUCUGGCUGUCGUGAUGCCUAAAAAGCAUUGCAUAGCAAGGGCCGGGCAAGACCGGUGCCAGCCGCCGCGGUAACACCGGCGGCUCGAGUGGUAACCGUUAUUAUUGGGUCUAAAGGGUCUGUAGCCGGCCGGAUAAGUCUCUUGGGAAAUCCAGCAGCUCAACUGUUGGGCUUUCAGGAGAUACUGUUCGGCUCGAGGCCGGGAGAGGUGAGAGGUACUUCAGGGGUAGGGGUGAAAUCUUGUAAUCCUUGAAGGACCACCAGUGGCGAAGGCGUCUCACCAGAACGGACCUGACGGCAAGGGACGAAAGCUAGGGGCACGAACCGGAUUAGAUACCCGGGUAGUCCUAGCCGUAAACGAUACUCGCUAGGUGUCGGCCACGGUGCGACCGUUGUCGGUGCCGUAGGGAAGCCGUGAAGCGAGCCACCUGGGAAGUACGGCCGCAAGGCUGAAACUUAAAGGAAUUGGCGGGGGAGCACCACAACGGGUGGAGCUUGCGGUUUAAUUGGAUUCAACGCCGGG